GACGAACGCUGGCGGCGUGCUUAACACAUGCAAGUCGAACGGAAAGGCCCUGCUUUUGUGGUGAGCGCGAGGGGCAAACGGGUGAGUAACACGUGUGUAACCUGCCCUUGACUUUGGGAUAACUUCAGGAAACUGGGGCUAAUACCGGAUAGGAGCUCCUUCUGCAGGGUGGGGGUUGGAGAGUUUCGGCGGUGGGGGAUGGACUCGGGGCUUAUCAUCUUGUGGGGGGGGUAGUGGCUUACCAAGCCUUGCACGGGGAGCGGGCCGGAGAGGGUGACCGGCCCCAUUGGGACUGAGAUACGGCCCGGCUUCCUACGGGAGGAAGAAGGGGGGAAUAUGGAACAAUGGGCGGAAGCCGGAUGAAGAAACGCCGCGUGCGGGAUGCCGGCCUUCGGGUUGUAAACCGCUUUCGCCUGUGACGAAGCGUGAGUGACGGUAAUGGGUAAAGAAGCACCGGCUAACUACGUG
Molecule: ribosomal RNA, 468 nt
Filed under: uncultured bacterium
Lineage: Bacteria
Description: partial 16S ribosomal RNA
Rfam family: Bacterial small subunit ribosomal RNA
Source: RNAcentral